AGGAAUAUUGGUCAAUGGACGCAAGUCUGAACCAGUCAUGCCGCGUGGAGGAUGAAGGUCCUCUGGAUUGUAAACUUCUUUUAUCUGGGACGAAACACUUCUUUUCUAAGAGGCCUGACGGUACCAGAUGAAUAAGCACCGGCUAACUCCGUGCCAGCAGCCGCGGUAAUACGGAGGGUGCAAGCGUUAUCCGGAUUCACUGGGUUUAAAGGGUGCGUAGGUGGGUAUGUAAGUCAGUGGUGAAAUCCCCGAGCCUAACUUGGGAACUGCCAUUGAUACUAUAUAUCUUGAAUACCGUAGAGGUAAGCGGAAUAUGUCAUGUAGCGGUGAAAUGCUUAGAUAUGACAUGGAACACCAAUUGCGAAGGCAGCUUACUAUGCGGUGAUUGACACUGAGGCACGAAAGCGUGGGUAGCAAACA
RNAcentral lists this ribosomal RNA (420 nucleotides) under uncultured bacterium. Its description in RNAcentral is "bacterial SSU rRNA". It matches the Rfam family "Bacterial small subunit ribosomal RNA", at positions 357 to 774 of the family's 1533-position model. The record is from RNAcentral.